This 811-nucleotide ribosomal RNA is filed under the name Platyderus incertans. Its description in RNAcentral is "eukaryotic LSU rRNA". It matches the Rfam family "Eukaryotic large subunit ribosomal RNA", at positions 406 to 908 of the family's 3401-position model. The record is from RNAcentral. Lineage: Eukaryota; Metazoa; Arthropoda; Insecta; Coleoptera; Carabidae.
UGUUCAGGGGUAAACCUGUGGUUCCCGAAAGUUCGAACGGGGAGAUUCAAUUGCCUCGCCGGUUAUGACCAUUUAACAGUGUGUUAUUAACGAGACAUUAUAUGCGUGCGGUUUACGCCGUAGCAGUUAUAUAGUGCUCCGCUGUUUUAUGUUAUUGUUUGUAGCCGGAGGCGUGCACUUCUCCCCUUGUAGGGCGUCAUGACCCAUUGGGCCGUGUAUUUAAAUGUUGUCUAAGGCUCAGAAAGGAGACCGUGGCGUCAAGUUUCGGCUUGUGCGCACCGGACUUUCAGAUGUCCCGACAUCUGCCCGAUGGUAUAAUUAUGAUGAUGGACCGCUAAAUUUAUUUAGUGAGCGUUUUUGAUCUGUGACAAAUGCUUAUACGAUUAAUUGUGGAAAACGGAUUAUAUGCCGUUUCUGCACGUAUGGUAUUGUUAGUCAUGGUAUAUUCUCAAACCGUUUCUUAUCAUCAGUCAAUGGCGUUUAUGUUUUGGGUAAUUACAGGACCCGUCUUGAAACACGGACCAAGGAGUCUAGCAUGUGCGCGAGUCAUUGGGACUCUAUUAAACCUAAAGGCGUAAUGAAAGUGAAAUAUUUUUUGAAUAUUUUUAUUCAUUGAAUUUGAGGGAAGAUGGUUAACGAUAUUUAUGUUAACUCGCAUUCCCGGGGCGUCGCGUACUCAUUGCGAGUUGCGGCGCACCUAGAGCGUACACGCUGGGACCCGAAAGAUGGUGAACUAUGCCUGGUCAGGAUGAAGUCAGGGGAAACCCUGAUGGAGGUCCGUAGCGAUUCUGACGUGCAAAUCGAUCGUAUG